UCUCUCAGGUGUCGUAUUAUUU
This 22-nucleotide non-coding RNA is filed under the name Arabidopsis thaliana (thale cress). Lineage: Eukaryota; Viridiplantae; Streptophyta; Magnoliopsida; Brassicales; Brassicaceae. The record is from RNAcentral.